This 301-nucleotide ribosomal RNA is filed under the name uncultured bacterium. Its description in RNAcentral is "partial 16S ribosomal RNA". It matches the Rfam family "Bacterial small subunit ribosomal RNA", at positions 509 to 807 of the family's 1533-position model. The record is from RNAcentral.
CAGUCGCCGCGGGAAUACGAAGGGGGCUAGCGUUGCUCGGAAUUACUGGGCGUAAAGGGAGCGUAGGCGGAUCGUUUAGUCAGGGGUGAAAUCCCGGGGCUCAACCUCGGAACUGCCUUUGAUACUGGCGAUCUUGAGUAUGGGAGAGGUGUGUGGAACUCCGAGUGUAGAGGUGAAAUUCGUAGAUAUUCGGAAGAACACCAGUGGCGAAGGCGACACACUGGCCCAUUACUGACGCUGAGGCUCGAAAGCGUGGGGAGCAAACAGGAUUAGAUACCCCCGUAGUCCCUGUCUCUUAUAC